GGCCUCGUGGCCCAAUGGCAAGGCGUCUGACUACGAUAAAGAACCAAACCAUAUUCUGGUUUGAAUUCUUCACGAUAAUCAGGAGAUUCUGGGUUCGACCCCCAGCGAGGUCA
Non-coding RNA from Xylaria longipes, 113 nucleotides. Lineage: Eukaryota; Fungi; Ascomycota; Sordariomycetes; Xylariales; Xylariaceae. The record is from the annotation of a GenBank genome assembly.